UACGGGGGGUGCGAGCGUUAAUCGGAAUAACUGGGCGUAAAGGGCACGCAGGCGGACUGUUAAGUGAGAUGUGAAAUCCCCGGGCUCAACCUGGGAACUGCAUUUGAAACUGGCAAGCUAGAGUCUCGUAGAGGGGGGUAGAAUUCCAGGUGUAGCGGUGAAAUGCGUAGAGAUCUGGAGGAAUACCGGUGGCGAAGGCGGCCCCCUGGACGAAGACUGACGCUCAGGUGCGAAAGCGUGGGGAGCAAACAGG
This 253-nucleotide ribosomal RNA is filed under the name uncultured bacterium. RNAcentral's name for it is "partial 16S ribosomal RNA". It matches the Rfam family "Bacterial small subunit ribosomal RNA", at positions 524 to 776 of the family's 1533-position model. The record is from RNAcentral.